RNAcentral lists this ribosomal RNA (638 nucleotides) under Pediococcus ethanolidurans. Its description in RNAcentral is "bacterial SSU rRNA". It matches the Rfam family "Bacterial small subunit ribosomal RNA", at positions 74 to 698 of the family's 1533-position model. The record is from RNAcentral. Lineage: Bacteria; Bacillati; Bacillota; Bacilli; Lactobacillales; Lactobacillaceae.
AUGAUUUUAACUAUAAAGUGAGUGGCGAACGGGUGAGUAACACGUGGGUAACCUGCCCAGAAGUGGGGGAUAACACCUGGAAACAGAUGCUAAUACCGCAUAACAAAAUUAACCGCAUGGUUGAUUUUUAAAAGAUGGCUUCGGCUAUCACUUCUGGAUGGACCCGCGGCGUAUUAGCUAGUUGGUGAGAUAAAGGCUCACCAAGGCAGUGAUACGUAGCCGACCUGAGAGGGUAAUCGGCCACAUUGGGACUGAGACACGGCCCAGACUCCUACGGGAGGCAGCAGUAGGGAAUCUUCCACAAUGGACGCAAGUCUGAUGGAGCAACGCCGCGUGAGUGAUGAAGGCUUUCGGGUCGUAAAACUCUGUUGUUGGAGAAGAACGUGUGUGAGAGUAACUGCUCAUGCAGUGACGGUAUCCAACCAGAAAGCCACGGCUAACUACGUGCCAGCAGCCGCGGUAAUACGUAGGUGGCAAGCGUUAUCCGGAUUUAUUGGGCGUAAAGCGAGCGCAGGCGGUCUUUUAAGUCUAAUGUGAAAGCCUUCGGCUUAACCGAAGAAGUGCAUUGGAAACUGGGAGACUUGAGUGCAGAAGAGGAGAGUGGAACUCCAUGUGUAGCGGUGAAAUGCGUAGAUAUA